UUCUGAUUUAGUAGGUCUGGGGUAUCAUCUAGGGUUUUGCAUUUUAAAUGGUCUUGCUGAUGCUGAUCCUCUAUGGAGUCUUACUGAGCAGUAAGACCCUAGUAGUAGUUCCAAUUCUAUAUCUCUACCACAAAGCACUUUAGAGCAGCCCCUCCCAGAAUCCUGUCAGAUAGAUCCUUUCCAUACUCCAUCUCACCACUCAGCUAAAGCCUAAACCCACACAAUGAGGAAGCCAUCACCAGGUUGACAGGUAAAGGUUGAGGAGGAAAUUCUCACAUUCAAGAUGAUGCUGUCAUUAUAAUGAAGUAAGAUGGAACAAAAAGUUGUAUGUGAAGUACCCUGGGCAAGCCCCUUUGAUAGUUUUAGCUACAGAUGCCUGUGUGUUUGCAAUGUGGGCCUCUUAUGGCUGUAUUCUAUUAGCUCUGGGUUUACUGUGAUAUUAUGUAUAUUUGUCUUGGGCCAAACAGCUUGCUUGCCUCAGUUGAAGUCUAAAAGAUACUAUGGGCUUAAGACACUUUUUGUUUAUUUGCUAUUUGAGGUGAAUUAUUCCUUCUUUGCUUCUUUGCUAUUCAUAAUAUUAUGAUAUAUAAUUUUGGCUAUGCAAUUGUGUAAUCUUUUCUAUAAUAUUAUUUUGGGCUUCUGUAUAAAAGCUUAAAAAUAUGUUCCACGAAUGAGAUGCUUAUGCUUGUUUAUUCAAUAUUUUUUUCUGUUGGACUUUGGACAAAGUCUUGCCUAGUGGGAUUCACAUAUAAGGAAAGCUUUUUUUUCUUGUUACUCACAGAAUUACGAUGUUUAAAAUAGCUAUUUGAGUUCAAUGAUACUAUACUUUCCAUAAUAAAUUUAGAGUACUUUUUUCACUUCAAAGAAUGCUUUUGAGUUUUCCAUGAAUAGGUUUCACUAACUACAUUUUUAAAAAGACCUUAGCUCUGAGGUUUAUCCUCUUUUACAUCUUAAGGUACAUUUUUCAUGAUUUCUAAAAUAUUUGCUUUUUAAAAAUACUAGGACUGUUAAUUUUAAAAAUUCAUUUUUCAAAAUUUUCAGAAAUUUUAAUAUUAAGAAUCUGUUUAAUUUUUUUUAUUUCUUGGUCAAGGCAGUCAUAUGGUUUGAGAUUUCUCAGUUCUUUAAAAUGGGAGUUCAUAAAUUCAACCUGUUCUAAGCUAACUGUAGUGAUUCCUAGCUGUCGUUUACUUAACACUAUUAACCAUUAAACACUACUGACAUCUCAACUCAAAACAUACACUUAGGUAUAGGAAAUAGUAUACAAACAUUUUAUUUAACCAUAUCGUAUGCAGAAAAUUUAAAAUUUGAAUCUUUCUUAUAGUCCUUGGACUCAAAUCUUCAUGCAAAUACAAUUUAUAUAAUCAAUUAUAUUUGACUUGUGUUUUUUAAAGUGGCUAAGGAAAUGAGUACCAACUUAUUAGGGAAUAUUUGAUGAAUAUUUUUCGUUUUGGUUGAACAAAUGACUACGUAGAGUUAUAUUUACUUCAAAAUCAAUAAAAUACCACUAUUAACCUUGCUCUGACGCUCCCACCCCCACCCUUCAACUCGUAGAAUAUUUUUUGGUGGUAACUAGACUGACCUUUGCCAAAAUGUAAUUACAUUCAGAGAGAAAUACAAUUUUCCCCUUCAAAUCCAGGUGAAAGGCUACCAUGCUGGGCUUGCGGAGGGCAUAGUUGAGUAGGACAGCCAGAACUUCUGGCUAGGUCAUCGGGUCGGAUUACCCUGCCAUGUACCCCUCAGUAUUUACUUCCAGAGAUGGGCAACUUACUAUAGUCUUCAUGUUUAAGGAAUUCAAACCCAAAUGAAAAGUGUUGUGAAAGCAUAAAUAUCUCUGCUUGUAUACUACAGUACUGAAUAUGAAACCACAUAUUGCAAUAAAAAUAACUAACGAUGGCCCAUGCAUUUCACAAGGCGCUCUCAUACACCUGAAGGGGCAGUGGAAAGGUUCAGAGCACCCAGGCUGUCCCAAAGAGGGCGGAAUCAAAUCUGGGCGCAGGUGGGUACCCGGAAAAAAUUCUUGGUGGAGAUGGCAUCUGAGAGAGGCGUCGAAGGACACGGAGGGUUGAGGAUAGGAGAGAGGCCACUCCAGAUGGAAAAACACCCUCGUUUUCCAAAUGCCAGUUAUACCACGGGGCCUGUGAUAGCCGCCACGUUUCUAGAAGACCCCUAGAAGAGCAGGGGUCCGACCAAGGAAGUACUUCCGCUGUUCAAUUUGCUAAGUUUGCAUUCGGAGAGUACAAGGGCGAGCUCUGGCUCUUGCAGGUGGACUCCCUCUCCCUUAGCUCUGACUGCGAGAAGCUCCCACCCGCAAAGGGCUACUGUGCCAAAAGCGAGCGUAGUGGCCGCCGCUUCCCCCACAAAAUUCCG
RNAcentral lists this long non-coding RNA (2367 nucleotides) under Homo sapiens (human). RNAcentral describes it as "HSALNT0147354". The record is from RNAcentral. Lineage: Eukaryota; Metazoa; Chordata; Mammalia; Primates; Hominidae.